RNAcentral lists this ribosomal RNA (269 nucleotides) under uncultured Planctomycetota bacterium. Its description in RNAcentral is "uncultured planctomycete partial 16S ribosomal RNA". It matches the Rfam family "Bacterial small subunit ribosomal RNA", at positions 927 to 1181 of the family's 1533-position model. Lineage: Bacteria; Pseudomonadati; Planctomycetota. The record is from RNAcentral.
AAGCGGUGGAGCAUGUGGCUUAAUUCGAGGCUACGCGAAGAACCUUAUCCUGGACUUGACAUGUUCGAAAGAGGCAGCAGGUAGGACCCGGAAACGGGAACGAACGGUAUCCAACCCGGAAGCUGCCACAGGUGCUGCAUGGCUGUCGUCAGCUCGUGUCGUGAGAUGUCGCGUUAAGUCGCAUAACGAGCGAAACCCUUACCUUUAGUUGCUACCGAAAGGGCACUCUAGAGGGACUGCCGGUGUUAAACCGGAGGAAGGUGGGGAUG